This 395-nucleotide ribosomal RNA is filed under the name uncultured soil bacterium. Its description in RNAcentral is "bacterial SSU rRNA". It matches the Rfam family "Bacterial small subunit ribosomal RNA", at positions 26 to 419 of the family's 1533-position model. The record is from RNAcentral.
AGAUUGAACGCUGGCGGCAGGCCUAACACAUGCAAGUCGAGCGGCAGCACGGGUACUUGUACCUGGUGGCGAGCGGCGGACGGGUGAGUAAUGCCUAGGAAUCUGCCUGGUAGUGGGGGAUAACGCUCGGAAACGGACGCUAAUACCGCAUACGUCCUACGGGAGAAAGCAGGGGACCUUCGGGCCUUGCGCUAUCAGAUGAGCCUAGGUCGGAUUAGCUAGUUGGUGAGGUAAUGGCUCACCAAGGCGACGAUCCGUAACUGGUCUGAGAGGAUGAUCAGUCACACUGGAACUGAGACACGGACCAGACUCCUACGGGAGGCCAGCAGUGGGGAAUUUUGGGACAAAUGGGCGCAAGCCUGAUCCAGCAAUGCCGCGUGCAGGAGAAGGCCUUC